UACGGGGGGGGUAAGCGUUGUUCGGAAUUACUGGGCGUAAAGGGCUCGUAGGCGGCCAACUAAGUCAUACGUGAAAUCCCUCAGCUUAACUGGGGAACUGCGUGUGAUACUGGAUGGCUUGGAUUUGGGAGAGGGAUGCGGAAUUCCAGGUGUAGCGGUGAAAUGCGUAGAUAUCUGGAGGAACACCGGUGGCGAAGGCGGCUCGCUGGGCCAGUUCUGACACUCAUCCGCGAAAGCGUGGGGAGCAAACAGG
This 253-nucleotide ribosomal RNA is filed under the name uncultured bacterium. RNAcentral's name for it is "partial 16S ribosomal RNA". It matches the Rfam family "Bacterial small subunit ribosomal RNA", at positions 524 to 776 of the family's 1533-position model. The record is from RNAcentral.